AGAGUUUGAUCCUGGCUCAGAACGAACGCUGGCGGCGUGCUUAACACAUGCAAGUCCAACGUGAAAGGGGAGCAAUCCCCCGGUAGGGUGGCGAACGGGUGAGUAAGACAUGGGUGAUCUACCUUAGGGAUGGGGAUAUCCUUCCGAAAGGAGGGGCAAUACCGAAUAUUGUCCGGACCAUGAAGGGUUCCCGGGGAAAGGGAGGGCCUCUGAUACAAGCUUUCGCCUUAAGAUGAGCCCAUGGCCCAUCAGCUAGUUGGUAGGGUAAAGGCCUACCAAGGCUACGACGGGUCGCUGGUCUGAGAGGACGAUCAGCCACACUGGCACUGAGACACGGGCCAGACUCCUACGGGAGGCGAC
This 360-nucleotide ribosomal RNA is filed under the name uncultured prokaryote. RNAcentral's name for it is "bacterial SSU rRNA". It matches the Rfam family "Bacterial small subunit ribosomal RNA", at positions 8 to 352 of the family's 1533-position model. The record is from RNAcentral.